RNAcentral lists this ribosomal RNA (539 nucleotides) under Bacillus sp. (in: firmicutes). Its description in RNAcentral is "bacterial SSU rRNA". It matches the Rfam family "Bacterial small subunit ribosomal RNA", at positions 76 to 599 of the family's 1533-position model. The record is from RNAcentral. Lineage: Bacteria; Bacillati; Bacillota; Bacilli; Caryophanales; Bacillaceae.
GAGCUUGCUCCCUGAUGUCAGCGGCGGACGGGUGAGUAACACGUGGGUAACCUGCCUGUAAGACUGGGAUAACUCCGGGAAACCGGGGCUAAUACCGGAUGCUUGUUUGAACCGCAUGGUUCAAACAUAAAAGGUGGCUUCGGCUAUCACUUACAGAUGGACCCGCGGCGCAUUAGCUAGUUGGUGAGGUAAUGGCUCACCAAGGCAACGAUGCGUAGCCGACCUGAGAGGGUGAUCGGCCACACUGGGACUGAGACACGGCCCAGACUCCUACGGGAGGCAGCAGUAGGGAAUCUUCCGCAAUGGACGAAAGUCUGACGGAGCAACGCCGCGUGAGUGAUGAAGGUUUUCGGAUCGUAAAGCUCUGUUGUUAGGGAAGAACAAGUGCCGUUCAAAUAGGGCGGCACCUUGACGGUACCUAACCAGAAAGCCACGGCUAACUACGUGCCAGCAGCCGCGGUAAUACGUAGGUGGCAAGCGUUGUCCGGAAUUAUUGGGCGUAAAGGGCUCGCAGGCGGUUUCUUAAGUCUGAUGUGAAA